GCCGUCUUAGCUCAGUGGUAGAGCGCGUGGCUUUUAACCACGUGAUCGUGGGUUCGAUCCCCACAGACGGCG
Molecule: transfer RNA, 72 nt
Organism: Macleaya cordata
Lineage: Eukaryota; Viridiplantae; Streptophyta; Magnoliopsida; Ranunculales; Papaveraceae
Rfam family: tRNA
About the family: Transfer RNA (tRNA) molecules are approximately 80 nucleotides in length. Their secondary structure includes four short double-helical elements and three loops (D, anti-codon, and T loops). Further hydrogen bonds mediate the characteristic L-shaped molecular structure. tRNAs have two regions of fundamental functional importance: the anti-codon, which is responsible for specific mRNA codon recognition, and the 3' end, to which the tRNAs corresponding amino acid is attached (by aminoacyl-tRNA synthetases). tRNAs cope with the degeneracy of the genetic code in two manners: having more than one tRNA (with a specific anti-codon) for a particular amino acid; and 'wobble' base-pairing, i.e. permitting non-standard base-pairing at the 3rd anti-codon position.
Source: Rfam